This 1167-nucleotide long non-coding RNA is filed under the name Numida meleagris (helmeted guineafowl). RNAcentral's name for it is "lncRNA (ENSNMEG00000001304.1)". Lineage: Eukaryota; Metazoa; Chordata; Aves; Galliformes; Numididae. The record is from RNAcentral.
UGGAGUCCGUUUUUGGAUGAGUGGAGAUUUUUCCCUAUUUGCAGUGACAGGGAGCGUGGGCAGCGGGCUGGAAGCAUCCCCGAGCCGUCAGGAGGUGCAGAUCCCUGAGAUGCAGGCUGCGCUCCUUGCAGCUCGGGGAUGAGUGAGCUGGGGGCUCGUCCCAUUUGCAGGCUGAGGACAGGGACACACUGCACACAGGAGGUGCUUGGUGACUGCACCACGUGGAUUUGGCUCUGGGGAGGAACGGGGGAAAAGCAGAAAGCAUGGGUUUGCCGUUAUUGGGCACUGCAAUGACCCUAAGCCCAUAACACACCAUUCCCCCAGCUGUAGGGCUGUGUGGUUUGAUGGGAAGCGCUCUCCAUCCCCAUACCAUCAGGGUGCAAGCACCGCUGUCACAAAGGAUAUUUUCUUUGCCUUUCAGCUUUUUAAAUAAAUUUCUCAGGCAGUUUCCAGCAGUUACCUGUUUUAUUGCCAACAUCCCUGGAUAAAGUGAUGGGGAGGAAUCAGAGGAGCACAAUGUAGGCCUUUGUUUGCUAACAGAAAAAUCUCUUUUCUUUCCUUUCUGUAGGUGUCUGGUGCCUGAGGAGGGGCCGCAGUGGGGCAGGCAGCGCAGCUUAAACUCAAACCCAUCAUAGAGCGGAGCAGGGACCUCAUCCAGCAAAGAUUACGGAGGAACUGCACGGGGCGAGACAGCAGCGCUUAAUCCCCCGACUUUUUAAUUUCCAGCCGAGGAGAAUGCAGCCCUCCCCUCCGGCCGCCCUAUAAUGAGACCCAGCACAAGGGCUGCCUGCUGAGCACCACGGGACGAGCACAGCUGCCACCACGAGCAAAGGAUUCACCCCGGGGGCAUCGGGAAUGGCCUCUCCACUGCCCAGGAGCCGCCGCCGUGCAGAGCUGCACGCAGCCGGAGUGUGCGGGGAGCCCAUGUAGGACGGAGCCGUCUGCGGGUGCCAGCCAAGAAAUUCAUAUUUCAUGGGAGGUGGAAGUGAGUCCCGGCAGUAGCGGCGCGGCGGAGGGGUGCCAAGGUCCAGGUUAAAGGAUGCGGCAACACCCCACCGGUGCCCGGCAGCCCACAGCACCCCGUGUCCAUCCCCGCACCCGGCCCCGCAGCACCGUGCCAUGACGGGCAGACAGGAGGCGGCAGCAGGACGGGUGCACGGGGCCGUG